RNAcentral lists this ribosomal RNA (780 nucleotides) under uncultured bacterium. RNAcentral's name for it is "bacterial SSU rRNA". It matches the Rfam family "Bacterial small subunit ribosomal RNA", at positions 8 to 781 of the family's 1533-position model. The record is from RNAcentral.
AGAGUUUGAUCCUGGCUCAGGAUGAACGCUAGCGGCAGGCUUAACACAUGCAAGUCGAGGGGUAACAGGGAUUGCUUGCAAUCCGCUGACGACCGGCGCACGGGUGCGUAACGCGUAUGCAACCUACCUUCUACAGGGGGAUAGUCAAUAGAAAUGUUGAAUAAUACCCCAUACGAUCUUUGAAUAGCAUUAUUUAAAGAAGAAAGCUCCGGCGGUAGAAGAUGGGCAUGCGUCCUAUUAGUUAGUUGGUAAGGUAACGGCUUACCAAGACUUCGAUAGGUAGGGGUCCUGAGAGGGAGACCCCCCACACUGGUACUGAGACACGGACCAGACUCCUACGGGAGGCAGCAGUGAGGAAUAUUGGACAAUGGAGGCAACUCUGAUCCAGCCAUGCCGCGUGCAGGAAGACUGCCCUAUGGGUUGUAAACUGCUUUUAUACAGGAAGAAAUAUACCUACGUGUAGGUAUUUGACGGUACUGUACGAAUAAGGAUCGGCUAACUCCGUGCCAGCAGCCGCGGUAAUACGGAGGAUCCAAGCGUUAUCCGGAAUCAUUGGGUUUAAAGGGUCCGUAGGCGGUCUUUUAAGUCAGAGGUGAAAUCCUACAGCUCAACUGUAGAAUUGCCUUUGAUACUGAAAGACUUGAGUUAUUGUGAAGUAGUUAGAAUGUGUGGUGUAGCGGUGAAAUGCAUAGAGAUCACACAGAAUACCGAUUGCGAAGGCAGAUUACUAACAAUAUACUGACGCUGAGGGACGAAAGCGUGGGUAGCGAACAGGAAUAG